AUCAGUCCGGGCUAUCCUGAAGAUCCGCAGGACUUGUCGUAAAAAAAUCCAUGAGAGAAUUACAUCUGUCUUUGCUUUAUUGACUGCGCUAAAAAAGGUGGAAACUGAUCAAAACUGCAUCCAAGAACAGAUGAAGGCUUCUGAAAAGCUUGGCAAAGUAUUAAAUGAGGCAGAUAUCCGCUUAUUAGUUGCAAGCAUGGAACAGAAAAAUGGUGCUGAAGUGGCUGAAAAGUCAGUCAAACUGGAGGAGAAACUUUUGAUUAAGCAGUUGGAGAGAAACAAACGAG
RNAcentral lists this unclassified non-coding RNA (287 nucleotides) under Hevea brasiliensis (rubber tree). The record is from RNAcentral. Lineage: Eukaryota; Viridiplantae; Streptophyta; Magnoliopsida; Malpighiales; Euphorbiaceae.